UACAGAGGUCUCAAGCGUUGUUCGGAUUCAUUGGGCGUAAAGGGUGCGUAGGUGGCGGGGUAAGUCAGGUGUGAAAUCUCGAGGCCCAACCUCGAAACUGCACUUGAUACUGCCUUGCUCGAGUACUGGAGAGGAGAUUGGAAUUUACGGUGUAGCAGUGAAAUGCGUAGAUAUCGUAAGGAAGACCAGUGGCGAAGGCGAAUCUCUGGACAGUUACUGACACUGAGGCACGAAGGCCAGGGGAGCAAACGGG
This 253-nucleotide ribosomal RNA is filed under the name uncultured bacterium. Its description in RNAcentral is "partial 16S ribosomal RNA". It matches the Rfam family "Bacterial small subunit ribosomal RNA", at positions 524 to 776 of the family's 1533-position model. The record is from RNAcentral.